AAAGUCGUAACAAGGUCUCCGUAGGUGAACCUGCGGAGGGAUCAUCAAAGAAUUUAACAUAAAACCCACAAGUGUUUGGGGGAGAAUUCUUUCUCCUCUCAAACACUUUAAACAAACGAUCGCAACUAAAACUAAAUGAUUUGGGAGAGGGAAAUAACAAACAAGAAACGUUUGCCUGAUAAACAUUGGAUUGGAAAAAAAAGAGAAAUAUACAACUUUCAACAACGGAUCUCUUGGCUCUC
Molecule: unclassified non-coding RNA, 242 nt
Filed under: Basidiomycota sp.
Lineage: Eukaryota; Fungi; Basidiomycota
Description: partial contains small subunit ribosomal RNA, internal transcribed spacer 1, and 5.8S ribosomal RNA
Rfam family: Eukaryotic small subunit ribosomal RNA (bases 1-47)
Source: RNAcentral